UUCAUCUCUGAGUAACUACGGCUACCCUCACCAAUCAAUCAGGAAAUCACCAAUUCACGAUCAUCAUCAAGUGAUUCAAGUCUUACUAGUUAGUAGCUAUCAAUCAAUCAGGUUAAGUGGUGACUGCCAAGGAUACCAAUUUUUUCUUCGUCUAUCAGAUUCAAUCUAAACCUUUUUGUUUCCAAGGUUGAGGUUGUCCUAUCCAAUCAAUG
This is a long non-coding RNA of Papaver somniferum (opium poppy), 212 nucleotides long. RefSeq lists it as uncharacterized. NCBI's taxonomy places the organism in Eukaryota, Viridiplantae, Streptophyta, Magnoliopsida, Ranunculales, Papaveraceae. The transcript has 3 exons. The record is from RefSeq and is a predicted model, not a curated record.